RNA transcript from Solanum verrucosum, 2536 nucleotides. RefSeq lists it as uncharacterized. NCBI's taxonomy places the organism in Eukaryota, Viridiplantae, Streptophyta, Magnoliopsida, Solanales, Solanaceae. The transcript is spliced from 6 exons. The record is from RefSeq and is a predicted model, not a curated record.
UUAAAUGGUUUGAGAGACUUUGAAAGGAGAGAAAGGGAGAGGGAGGCGCAGUUAAAAGGAUUUGGUUUAAUCUUGUGCAACGAAUAAUGGGUUGCCGGUCUGAUGUAUUAUGGUGGUGUGAAGCGAAUGCUUAUUGUGUUACCUUACUAGUUGGGUCGAAUGUAGAUGAUGCUGGAUUGUUUGAUGAAACAUUUCUGGGAAUUCCGUUGAUAGAUAGGUAGUGGUUGUUUAGUGUGAUGAUAGAUAAUGUUGUAGAUUCAAUCUAGUUCUACUGCAGUUAGGUUUGUUCCGGUGGUAGGAGAAUGAACUGCUGGGGAUUUCAUGGGGCGGAGUAAUUAGAUAUUGAAUUGGUGCAAGACAGGUGAUAGAAUUUAGGUAGUGUAGUUGAUUAGAUAUUGACAAGAAGAUUGUGGAGGUAACAAAUUUACGUUAGACAUGGGGUUGCCUCAAGUGCCCUCCAGCAAUAUUGCUGAGGAAGUGGCCACAUCAUUGAGCACAUUUGUUCAAACUCCUGCUAGAUUUGCUGGCAUGAGUAGUUGUGAUAUGAGUGGAAUGCACAUAAGUUGCCUUAGCAAUCGGACAUCAGCGGAUUUUUCAUUCGUCUCGUCUAGGGAUGUUUCCAGGGAUGCUGAUAUUCUUAGUCUACAUAAAGAUGGUAUGACAAGCAUGCAUAAAUUGAGGAUUGAUUCUGCAGAAAAUCAUGGCUUCUUCACUCACAAUGGUGGAAGGACUACCCAGAGUCCUGCAUCAAGGAUUGUUGGGUUCGAAUCAAAAAGUGCAAUAAAAAGCCAUGCUAGUUUGUUUGAAGCAAAUCCAUUGGAUAGCGUCGAUUCAUCUACUGUGGUUCGGGACAUUGACAGAAUGAAUGAGACUACAAGUUCAUUAGUUAGGAAACGCUUGUUGUCUCCUUUGAAUGGUAUGGUUCUUCCAGAUAAAUUUGCUGGUGAAUCUCUGGAUAUUGGUGGUAGUACUGUUCGGAGUAAUUCCAACUUCACUCGUGAUAAAUAUGGUGCUUCCUCACAAGAACAUAAAAAGGCUCAUAUAGGCAACACAGACAACUUUAGUAAUGAAAAUUGGUUCAUGCCAUCUUUCCCUAGGGGGAAUUGUUUGCCAACUGAAAACUGUGGAGAAGUCUCCACUUUUGUCAUAGAUUGUCCUUUGUUCAAUGACGGGGGACCUGAAUCUGAGAUCCCUUUUACUCCUCCAUCCCCUGGGUUAAACUUUUAUGCACAUAUGAUAAAAACACAGUUGAAAGAUGGGAUAAUGGACAUGCCCGGAGAAUAUACAUUCUCGCCACCUCCGUCUCUUUCUCCUCUUGGACCAAAAUCUCAUAUAAGGUUGGGACGCGCAGAAAGGUUUAGGCAUUCCUGGGAGGAUCACGAUGAUAACUACUUAACUUUGAAGGAUGUGGAACAGUCACUUGAUCGAAGGCUUUCAGGCAUUUUAUCUCCCCGGAAGGAAGAGGAUCGCAAAACAGGAAGUGAUCUUUUUCAAGAUGUUGAAGUUUUUGAGAUGAACUUUGAACGUUCCACACCUGAAAGUUUAAGUGUCAUGAGGCGGUCCAAGACACAAAAUUCAGUUCCUACAAAUCAAUGUGCAAGAUUUGGUAGAAGUCUUAGUGGACUGUCUGUCAAAAGGUCCUUAGUCGGUUCAUUCGAGGAGUCACUAUUAUCUGGUCGUUUGACAUCCAGUGUAGUCAGCCAGAGAAUUGAUGGUUUUCUUGCCGUCCUUAGUAUCACUGGUGGAAAUUUCUCGCCACAUCCUCAGAAACUUCCAUUUGCUGUAACUAGCGUAGAUGGUGAUAACUUCUUGCUUUAUUACUCAUCAAUAGAUCUUGGAAGACCAGGUAGUGAUGGUAAAGGCUCACAAAUCAGGAACUCUAGCACUAAUAGUUUACAAACAAACAAGGGCCGCCUACGUAUACCGAUGAAAGGGCGCAUACAACUGGUUCUAAGCAAUCCAGAGAGAACACCUAUCCACACAUUCUUAUGUAGCUAUGAUUUGAGUGACAUGCCAGCUGGUACUAAGACAUUUUUACGUCAAAAGAUAAAUUUGUUUAUGGAUAAAGCUGGAAACAAGAGUUUAGACAGAAAGAUGGAUAGUGAACCACCGUCGGUUAUUAGUGUUGAGGAAUCUAUGCUGCGUGAAAGCCAUUCUACCAAAUCUCAUGGUACUGGCAAGGCAGGCCAUUGUGGAACGAAACCUGCAAAUAGCACUUCAAAGGUGAAUGAGAGUACUGCUAAUUCUAGUGUUCUUCGUUACGCUCUACAUCUCUGGUUCUUGUGUCCCUACCCGAAGAAGAGCACAAAAUCAGGUAUUCAGUGCAAAGAUGAUCAGGAGAGACGAUUCUACUUGUAUAAUGAUAUGAGAGUAGUUUUCCCUCAACGACAUUCAGAUGCUGAUGAAGGCAAGAUGCUUAGGUUAUUGUCUUCCUUUUUCGGUGGAAGAGUAUAUUGUCCUCUGGAUGCAGAAGUAGAUAUUGUUUGGCAGUGUAGAUUGGUUGCCUUCAUUUGUGAUAUUAUUGAUGCUCAAUUAG